CUCUUAGUCCCAUAACCCCAUUUAUCAGACACACCUUUCUCCCUCUCUCCUCUCUUUGCAAAAAUAUCCCCAAACCCUGCUAACCCUAACCUUCUUCUACGAGGUACCAUCGGCGAUAGAUUUCUGCCUCCGUCACCUCCAACCUUCAUCGACGCACCCAUCGCAGAUUCUUCUACAGCUAGAUCUGUUUCUCAAUGAACUCACCAGCAUGUUCGAGCAAAGCACUGAGACGGGCUCUGUUUGGGUUACACUUGAAGAUGUGUGUAUCAUCCUUGAAGUCUCAAGCCGUUAGGAAU
This is a non-coding RNA of Arachis ipaensis, 296 nucleotides long. Lineage: Eukaryota; Viridiplantae; Streptophyta; Magnoliopsida; Fabales; Fabaceae. The record is from RefSeq and is a predicted model, not a curated record.